RNAcentral lists this ribosomal RNA (466 nucleotides) under uncultured bacterium. Its description in RNAcentral is "bacterial SSU rRNA". It matches the Rfam family "Bacterial small subunit ribosomal RNA", at positions 329 to 792 of the family's 1533-position model. The record is from RNAcentral.
AGCCAGACUCCUACGGGAGGCAGCAGUGAGGAGUAUUGGUCAAUGGACGAGAGUCUGAACCAGCCAAGUAGCGUGAAGGAUGACUGCCCUAUGGGUUGUAAACUUCUUUUAUAUGGGAAUAAAACAGGGUAUGCAUACCCUCUUGUAUGUACCAUAUGAAUAAGGAUCGGCUAACUCCGUGCCAGCAGCCGCGGUAAUACGGAGGAUCCGAGCGUUAUCCGGAUUUAUUGGGUUUAAAGGGAGCGUAGGUGGAUUGUUAAGCCAGUUGUGAAAGUUUGCGGCUCAACCGUAAAAUUGCAGUUGAAACUGGCAGUCUUGAGUACAGUAGAGGUGGGCGGAAUUCGUGGUGUAGCGGUGAAAUGCUUAGAUAUAACUUAGAACCCCGAUAGCGAAGGCAGCUUACCAGACUGUUACUGACGCUGAAGCACGAGAGCGUGGGUAGCGAACAGGAUUAGAUACCCUCGUA